This 1253-nucleotide long non-coding RNA is filed under the name Bos indicus x Bos taurus (hybrid cattle). Its description in RNAcentral is "lncRNA (ENSBIXG00000015582.1)". The record is from RNAcentral. Lineage: Eukaryota; Metazoa; Chordata; Mammalia; Artiodactyla; Bovidae.
AUGGUUCAGCUCCCCGGGUUCAAGGUCUCUCACUUUCUCAGAGGGCUUUCCCCCUACACCUCAAUCCAAAAAAAAAAAAAAAGACCACCCACCACGAGGUACAUAACAAUGCCCGGGGACGUCCUCCCAGCUGACUCCAGGCCCGGAGAACCCCUUCUAUCAAAGCAACGGCGGGGACCCAGAUCUGGUUUAAAAAGGGCAAAGUCAAGGCCACGGAUAACACAACCCCCAACAAGCCCAGAACUCCCUCAUCCAGCCAGCCCGCAGGGCUCCUCUCCCCAUCCCUCCUCCCUGCCUCCCUCACAGCCUUCCUCCAAAUCUGCAAAAGGAAAAAAAAAAAAAAGAAAAAAAAUCAUAAUAAAACCAGUUCUCACCAACAGGGGGGGAGGAGGAGGGGGAGGAAGCGAGGAGGCUGAGCCGACAGCACAGAUCCGCCUCCGCUGCCUGCACCAGACCCUCAGAGAGCCGGAGCGCGCGACAGGCGGCUGGAGGGCCCUCGCUUCCAAAAAAAUAAACCUACAAUGUAAAAAUAACGCCGGGCGCCCUACGUUAAUUGGACCCGGGCGACAGCAGCUCACAGGGCUGCAUUUCUGGGGUGUUUGCUGCCCAUCUGCUUGCAUCUUUGCUCUCGGGAGCCAGUGGGGUAAGAACAGAGACAUCCAAGGAGGACGAAGGUCCCCGCAGCCUUGCUCACGGCGCCCCAGGGCGAGCUGCCUGAGUGGACGUCAGUGGGGCAGGCCGUGUGGAGCCUGGGCAUUCUUCCAAUGGAACAGUCGGCAGCCGUGGAUGAGCACAGAACAGGCUUUUGGACAUCUGGUUUUGGACAUCCCCGCGUGCACUUCUGGAUUUUUUUUCUUGAGAUUCAGGAGGUCUCCUUUCCGGCAUCUUUGUACCACAUUUGCUGUUUUUCAGCCUCCCAGAGAAUGUUAGGAAUUAGCCCCUGGGUGGCCUGACCUCCUGGUUGGGCCUGGGAAGCCAAGCAAAAGCCCCAGCCUUCCCAGGGUGGCGGCGGCACGGAUGUCCGGACACUAUAAGAAUCCACAUUGCAGCGGUUACUACACGUGGUUCUCAGAGCAGCCUUGGCCUGAACAGCCCCACAUAUGGGCCCAGAGCACAGGCCCCUGGUCGAGGCAAGGUCAGAACCCAGAGGCCUGUCCACAGCUGGCGAGGCUCACCAUCUUGUGUGUCCCUCCUGUGUCCCCUCUGGCUUUUACCCAACAAAAUCAAUAAAAAUUCUCAUUUUGAAAAUAUCA